GACGAACGCUGGCGGCGUGCUUAACACAUGCAAGUCGAGCGGUAAGGCCCUUUCGGGGGUACGACGAGCGGCGAACGGGUGAGUAACACGUGGGUGACCUGCCCUUAGCUCUGGGAUAAGCCUGGGAAACUGGGUCUAAUACCGGAUAUGACUCCAUGACGCAUGUUGUGGGGUGGAAAGCCUUGUGCGGCUAGGGAUGGGCCCGCGGCCUAUCAGCUUGUUGGUGGGGUGAUGGCCACCAAGGCGACGACGGGUAGCCGGCCUGAGAGGGCGACCGGCCACACUGGGGACUGAGACACGGCCCAGACUCCUACGGGAGGCAGCAGUGGGGAAUCUUGCGCAAUGGGCGAAAGCCUGACGCAGCGACGCCGCGUGGGGA
RNAcentral lists this ribosomal RNA (379 nucleotides) under uncultured bacterium. Its description in RNAcentral is "bacterial SSU rRNA". It matches the Rfam family "Bacterial small subunit ribosomal RNA", at positions 28 to 407 of the family's 1533-position model. The record is from RNAcentral.